This 492-nucleotide ribosomal RNA is filed under the name uncultured bacterium. Its description in RNAcentral is "partial 16S ribosomal RNA". It matches the Rfam family "Bacterial small subunit ribosomal RNA", at positions 29 to 507 of the family's 1533-position model. The record is from RNAcentral.
AGUGAACGCUGGCGGCGUGCCUAAUACAUGCAAGUCGAACGAACACACAAUAAGCUUUCUCCUCUAAGGGUAGCGACUGGCGGGUGGGUAACACAUACAUAACCUACCUAUAAUACGUGGGGGACUUCGUAGAACCACUUCUGAUACCACAGAAUAUGUUGUACGGCAGAAUGCAGGAGUUAUUCAGGGCUUGCGUGUCAGUUAGAGCUGACGUCGGAUUAGCUAGUUGGCGUGGUAACGGCUCACCAAGGCAACGAUACGUAGCUGAUCUGAGAGGGUGAUCAGCCACACUGGAACUGAGACACGGUCCAGACUCCUACGGGAGGCAGCAGUAGGGAAUAUUGCGCAAUGGGCGCAAGCUUGAUGGAGCAAUGCCGCGUGAGUGAUGAAGGCCUUCGGAUUGUAAAACUCUGUUAUUAGGGAAGAAAAACUGCGUAAGUAACCCUGGACGUUUUGACGGUACCUAAUCAGAAAGCACCGGCUAACUACGUG